This 496-nucleotide ribosomal RNA is filed under the name uncultured bacterium. RNAcentral's name for it is "partial 16S ribosomal RNA". It matches the Rfam family "Bacterial small subunit ribosomal RNA", at positions 29 to 507 of the family's 1533-position model. The record is from RNAcentral.
AUGAACGCUGGCGGCGUGCCUCAUCCAUUCCAGUCGCGCGAACAGACGAGGAGCUUGCUCCUCUGACGUUAGCGGCGGACGGGUGAGUAACACGUGGAUAACCUACCUAUAAGACUGGGAUAACUUCGGGAAACCGGAGCUAAUACCGGAUAAUAUAUUGAACCGCAUGGUUCCAUAGUGAAAGACGGUUUUGCUGUCACUUAUAGAUGGAUCCGCGCCGCAUUAGCUAGUUGGUAAGGUAACGGCUUACCAAGGCAACGAUGCGUAGCCGACCUGAGAGGGUGAUCGGCCACACUGGAACUGAGACACGGUCCAGACUCCUACGGGAGGCAGCAGUAGGGAAUCUUCCGCAAUGGGCGAAAGCCUGACGGAGCAACGCCGCGUGAGUGAUGAAGGUCUUCGGAUCGUAAAACUCUGUUAUUAGGGAAGAACAAAUGUGUAAGUAACUAUGCACGUCUUGACGGUACCUAAUCAGAAAGCCACGGCUAACCACGUG